RNAcentral lists this ribosomal RNA (256 nucleotides) under uncultured archaeon. Its description in RNAcentral is "partial 16S ribosomal RNA". It matches the Rfam family "Archaeal small subunit ribosomal RNA", at positions 748 to 1005 of the family's 1478-position model. The record is from RNAcentral.
UGGCCGUAAACGAUGUGGACUUGGUGUUGGGAUGGCUCCGAGCUGCCCCAGUGCCGAAGGGAAGCUGUUAAGUCCACCGCCUGGGAAGUACGGUCGCAAGACUGAACUUAAAGGAAUUGGCGGGGGAGCACCACAACGCGUGGAGCCUGCGGUUUAAUGGACUCAACGCCGGGAAGCUUCACCGGAUAAGACAGCGGAAUGAUUGCCGGGCUGAAGACCCUGCAUGACCAGCUGAGAGGAGGUGCAUGGCGUAGAC